AGCCCUUGACAUGGCAGGACGGUUUCCAGAGAUGGAUUCCUUCACUUCGGUGACUUGCACACAGGUGCUGCAUGGCUGUCGUCAGCUCGUGUCGUGAGAUGUUGGGUUAAGUCCCGCAACGAGCGCAACCCUCGCCUUUAGUUGCCAUCAUUUAGUUGGGCACUCUAGAGGGACUGCCGGUGAUAAGCCGGAGGAAGGUGGGGAUGACGUCAAGUCUUCAUGGCCCUUACGGGCG
RNAcentral lists this ribosomal RNA (235 nucleotides) under uncultured bacterium. RNAcentral describes it as "partial 16S ribosomal RNA". It matches the Rfam family "Bacterial small subunit ribosomal RNA", at positions 977 to 1209 of the family's 1533-position model. The record is from RNAcentral.